Molecule: non-coding RNA, 811 nt
Organism: Pantherophis guttatus
Lineage: Eukaryota; Metazoa; Chordata; Lepidosauria; Squamata; Colubridae
Source: the annotation of a RefSeq genome assembly
UUGCAGCUCAACUUAAGCGUGGGGAGAAGAGGUCCACCUAGAAGGAACUUUGGUUUCAGAAGAUCAGUCCUUGCCCAUUUCUCUGCCAUGGCCCAAUCGUUUCUCUUCCUCCUCUUCCUGCUCACUUAUCUCACUGGUGCCUUGGCCCAGUUCACCAUGACUCAGCCACCUUCUCUGUCGGUAUCCCCUGGAGGAGCAGUCAGGAUCACCUGUACCAGGGCAGGCGGUAGCAUUUCUGGCUAUUAUGUGGGCUGGUAUCAGCAGAAAUCUGGCACUAAACCCUUAGCAGUGAUCUAUAAAUAUAGUGAGAGACCUUCUGGAAUCCCCGAACGAUUUUCUGGUUCUUAUGAUUCUUCCUCCAAUUCGGCCACCUUGUCCAUCUCCAACGUUCAAGCAGAAGAUGAGGCUGACUAUUACUGUUUGACGAGUGAUGAAAAUUCUCAGAGCACAGUGAUUGCAUUUCAUGGGGAACUGUGACAAAAACCAGAAGGUGGCUCAGCCUUCCUUGAACGCUUCGCUCAACAUGGUUUGACAAAAGAAUUGCACACAAGUAGGGAAUGUACUUUUGAUAGUUUCAGCAUCCUUUUUUCCCCCCAUGUGAUCACUUUCUAUGAUCUUCCCAUCUAGCAUUCAAUGAACAGAGCGUUUUAAUGGCCGGAUGCCUUUCCCGUCACCAAUGCAGAGUUCAGCAGUGUCAGGGCGUUGAUUAAUCCCAUUCUGCCUCUGGGAAAUUGCACCCUGAUUAAGAGGAGCGAAUCGUGGCCUUUCCUUGCGAGCAUACUUUAAGAAAACAAACCCGAAGAAAUAUCUU